Non-coding RNA from Xylariales sp. PMI_506, 80 nucleotides. The record is from the annotation of a GenBank genome assembly. Lineage: Eukaryota; Fungi; Ascomycota; Sordariomycetes; Xylariales.
GCAUUGAUAGUGUAACGGUAACAUUGAGGCUUCCCAAUGCAGAAUUGCCUUAGCCCCGGGUUCGACUCCCGGUCAAUGCA